This 497-nucleotide ribosomal RNA is filed under the name uncultured bacterium. RNAcentral describes it as "partial 16S ribosomal RNA". It matches the Rfam family "Bacterial small subunit ribosomal RNA", at positions 28 to 507 of the family's 1533-position model. The record is from RNAcentral.
GAUGAACGCUGGCGGCGUGCCUAAUACAUGCAAGUCGAGCGAACAGACGAGGAGCUUGCUCCUCUGACGUUAGCGGCGGACGGGUGAGUAACACGUGGAUAACCUACCUAUAAGACUGGGAUAACUUCGGGAAACCGGAGCUAAUACCGGAUAAUAUAUUGAACCGCAUGGUUCAAUAGUGAAAGACGGUUUUGCUGUCACUUAUAGAUGGAUCCGCGCCGCAUUAGCUAGUUGGUAAGGUAACGGCUUACCAAGGCAACGAUGCGUAGCCGACCUGAGAGGGUGAUAGGCCACACUGGAACUGAGACACGGUCCAGACUCCUACGGGAGGCAGCAGUAGGGAAUCUUCCGCAAAGGGCGAAAGCCUGACGGAGCCACGCCGCGUGAGUGAUGACGGUCUUCUGAUCGUAAAACGCUGUUAUUAGGGAAGAAGAAAUGUGUAAGUAACUAUGCACGUCUUGACGGUACCUAGUCAGAAAGCCACGGCUAAGUACGUG